CCUACGGGAGGCAGCAGUGAGGAAUAUUGGUCAAUGGACGAGAGUCUGAACCAGCCAAGUAGCGUGAAGGAUGACUGCCCUAUGGGUUGUAAACUUCUUUUAUAUGGGAAUAAAAUGUUCCACGUGUGGGAUUUUGUAUGUACCAUAUGAAUAAGGAUCGGCUAACUCCGUGCCAGCAGCCGCGGUAAUACGGAGGAUCCGAGCGUUAUCCGGAUUUAUUGGGUUUAAAGGGAGCGUAGGUGGAUUGUUAAGUCAGUUGUGAAAGUUUGCGGCUCAACCGUAAAAUUGCAGUUGAAACUGGCAGUCUUGAGUACAGUAGAGGUGGGCGGAAUUCGUGGUGUAGCGGUGAAAUGCGUAGAUAUCACGAAGAACACCGAUUGCGAAGGCAGUUCACUGGACUGCAACUGACACUGAGGCUCGAAAGUGUGGGUAUCAAACAGGAUUAGAUACCCGUGUAGUC
This 460-nucleotide ribosomal RNA is filed under the name uncultured bacterium. RNAcentral's name for it is "partial 16S ribosomal RNA". It matches the Rfam family "Bacterial small subunit ribosomal RNA", at positions 338 to 795 of the family's 1533-position model. The record is from RNAcentral.